Musa acuminata AAA Group (dessert banana) is the source of this 1738-nucleotide long non-coding RNA. RefSeq lists it as uncharacterized. The transcript is spliced from 3 exons. Lineage: Eukaryota; Viridiplantae; Streptophyta; Magnoliopsida; Zingiberales; Musaceae. The record is from RefSeq and is a predicted model, not a curated record.
GAUGCAAAGAAACAAUGGCAGAGAUUAGAAGAUAACCCGGCUAGCAAAGCACAGUCUUUUUCUCCCGAUACCUUCGUCUUCCUUCUAAUAUGCACCUGUUAUAUUUAUAGAUGAUGCCAUCAAGAAUGAAUAGCUUUGACGAUUCUUAUUGAGCUACAUCAAAUUUUCCAUGACUGGAUAUUAGAAGCACAAAGGUGCUUGGAAGAAAGCUAUUGCAUCAAACAGUUCAAUCAGGAUCAAAAUCUAGGAGAGCUGGAGCUGCGAAACUUUGGCCGUCUUUGGAAGAUCUUGAGCAAAAAGUUUACUGUUCUCUGUGUUCAUUGGCCUCAUCUGCUCACUUAAGCAUGGAUGUUAUCAGGAUCCACUACAAGUUCUCCAAAUGGUCACUUGUGGUUAGUUGGAUAUUACAAACUGUACUCGAGAAGAGAGAUUAAAAGAGAAGCAUGCAGUUAUGGAGAUGAAAUAUCAAUUUUGAUCACUCCAGAAAGCCGAAAUGUGGUGCUAAAGAAAAAGAAAAGAAUUCUUUGGAACGAAUGAUUAUGGUACAGAACCAUGCCUGCAGAGGACCCUGCACUUCAGCACCCUAUCUUGAACAUAGAAUCCCGGCAUCACCAUGAUCUUAACUCGGGUAGCGCCUUGCGGUCUGUGCCUGUCCAAGGGAAUAUCCUCCAUGUAGAGGGGAUUGAAUUCACGAUCUUCCUCGACACGCAAGAUCGUCAAGGGUGGGCUGAAGGAAAAGGCCAGUAAAUGGAGCAACCAAAUACACUUGGCAGCGAUAAAGAAGCAUUGCAGAAGCUGCUCAGGCCAUGGCGCUGACCAAUCAAGCAUGGAAACAAUGCAGCUCAUUUUUUGAUCGCAAAACCUGCUGAAAUCCUCACUGUAGUACUUGGUCCCUUUCUGCAACACCUCGUUCCAGCUCAAAUUCCGAAGCCCAACAAAAGAUGAGAAGUUCUCCCUGCACUCUUCCCGGGGAUCCAGAAAUUUUGGACAACCAUUCUUAUGGAACACACAGUUCUCGAAAUCCUGAUAUAGAGUUUGGUUUACGAAUGCUUCCAAAUGAUAGAUAACUCCUUUUGAGUACUUACCAGUGAUCAGUGCCAUCUGAUGUGGCUGGAGAAGCAAAUUUAGUUUCUCUGGCAGAUCAUCAUCGGAUUCCUCAAUCUGGUGGAUGAGCAUCUUGCAGAACUGCUUGACUGAGAGCCUGGCUUCUGAAACUAUCUGCAAGAAACCCUCAACCAUUACCUCUUGGCUCACAGGCAUCGAAUUGUCUCUGUUGCUGCUCAUGGCCUUUGUUCUCUUUGACAAAUUAGAUCUGUCCGAAAUCUGGGAACUCUUUGGAUGCAUACCAUGUUUUAAGGCCUUCUUCAGCUCUGCACAAUAUGCUUCUAAACUGACUAGCUUCUGUUGCAGCUCUCCCAAUGAGGACCUCAUCUCUGAGACUUCUGCCAGUGCAGCAUCCCUGUUUUCAUUGGCCUCGAGGAGCUCCUUCUUCAGCGAUUCCAGUGAUAGAACCCCCCAUUCCUUCAAAAUUUGGGACAUGCCCUCAGAUUCCAUCAUUUUCGGUGACAUCUCCGGCUUGGAUUUCCUUUUUGAUUUUGGAAACAACCAUGAAAGACCUGACCCUCUGUGUUUUAUGUGUGUCUUUACAGAUUGCUCGGGAUCGUGUGAGACAUCUGUGCUCUUGGCAUUCUUGAGGUUCUUCCGAUCACCACCCACUUCCAUGUUUACAGUUUCUUGG